GUUGUGUCAUGUGUUCUAUUGUUUAUCUGUUUGUCUUCUUUAAUUUUUAGCCAGGAGUUGUCAGUUUGACUGUCCCUCUGGUAUCUUUCGUCCCUCUUUAAAGGGUGAUUGUACAAUUUCGUUUUAGUAAGAACAUGUGAGCAGAUUUCAUCAGGGAAUUUUCUGAGUUAACUUGAAACAAUUACUUGUUAUUUUCAAAAUAACACAUGUG
This 211-nucleotide long non-coding RNA is filed under the name Mytilus galloprovincialis (Mediterranean mussel). The record is from RNAcentral. Lineage: Eukaryota; Metazoa; Mollusca; Bivalvia; Mytilida; Mytilidae.